Molecule: ribosomal RNA, 497 nt
Filed under: uncultured bacterium
Lineage: Bacteria
Description: partial 16S ribosomal RNA
Rfam family: Bacterial small subunit ribosomal RNA
Source: RNAcentral
GAUGAACGCUGGCGGCGUGCCUAAUACAUGCCAGUCGAGCGAACAGACGAGGAGCUUGCUCCUUCGACGUUAGCGGCGGACGGGUGAGUAACACGUAGAUAACCUACCUAUAAGACUGGGAUAACUUCGGGAAACCGGAGCUAAUACCGGAUAAUAUUUCGAACCGCAUGGUUCGAUAGUGAAAGAUGGCUUUGCUAUCACUUAUAGAUGGACCUGCGCCGUAUUAGCUAGUUGGUAAGGUAACGGCUUACCAAGGCAACGAUACGUAGCCGACCUGAGAGGGUGAUCGGCCACACUGGAACUGAGACACGGUCCAGACUCCUACGGGAGGCAGCAGUAGGGAAUCUUCCGCAAUGGGCGAAAGCCUGACGGAGCAACGCCGCGUGAGUGAUGAAGGUCUUCGGAUCGUAAAACUCUGUUAUUAGGGAAGAACAAACGUGUAAGUAACUGUGCACGUCUUGACGGUACCUAAUCAGAAAGCCACGGCUAACUACGUG